CAAGUCACUCAGUCACAAUAAAGGAGGCGUGGUCUCAGUGUGUGUCACAGUAAAUGGGAGUGGCCUGUGUGUGUCAGUCACAGUGAAGGGGGUGUGGCCUGUGUGUCAGUCACAGUGAAGUGGGUGUGGCCUGCGUGUGUCACAGUGAAGGAGACGUGGCCUGUGUAUCAGUCAUAGUGAAGGAGGCAUGGCCUGAGUGUGUAUCAGUCAUAGUGAAGGAGGCAUGGCCUCUGUGUGUCAGUCACAGUGAAAUGGGAGUGGCCUGUGUGUGUCAGUCACAGUGAAGGAGGUGUGGCCUGAGUGUGUCAGUCAUAGUGAAGGAGGUGUGGCCUGUGUGUGUCAGUCACAGUGAAGGAGGUGUGGCCUGUGUGUGUCAGUCACAGUGAAGGAGGUGUGGCCUGUGUGUGUCAGUCACAGUGAAGGAGGCGUGGCCCGUGUGUAUCAGUCAUAGUGGAGGUGUAGCCUGAGUGUAUCAGUCAGUCAGGGACGCGUGGCCUGAGUGUAUCAGUCAUAGUGGAGGAGGUGUGGCCUGAGUGUAUCAGUCAUAGUGGAGGUGUAGCCUGAGUGUAUCAGUCAGUCAGGGACGCGUGGCCUGAGUGUAUCAGUCAUAGUGAAGGAGGUGUGGCCUGUGUGUGUCAGUCACAGUGAAGGAGGUGUGGCCUCUAUGUGUCAAUCACUGUGAAGGGGGUGUGGCCUCUCUGUGUGGCCACUUUUCAGCUCUGAGCUGCAAUAAUAACCAUCAUACAAGGAAAUGACUGAGAUCUGCAGAACGAUAAUCCUGGAGCCCAGACGGCCUCUCUCUGUGUGUGUGUGUGUGUGUGUGUGUGUGUGUGUAACUGUGUGCUGCUCUAUUAGAUCUGUUGCACAGACCCAGUGUCUAAUCUGGAACCAUUCCACGCUUUUUCUAAUCCGGUAAAAUUGGUUCGGUUCCACAACUAAACUGCUGCUUGUCUGAAACGGAGAGCUAUUAGGACCUCAGGGGGCGGAGUCAUUCCAUCACCAUGACAACUACUCAAGCCACAGGUCACAGUGCUGUGAAAAAGCAUUUGCCCCUGAUUUUGCCCUCCUGAUUUCUUCUGUUGUUGUAUACAUCUCACAGUAAACUGUUUCAGAAAUGAAAACAAAAGUUUUUCACCCUGAUGACGGGUGCUGGAUCACCGUUCUUUGCUUCAAUAAAAAUAAAUAAAAGAAUUAAAAACUGUAUAGUGUGUGUACUCGGGUCGCCUGCGUCUUAUACUGUAUUUCGUUCGAAGAUUAUAAAACUAUUCAAACUGAUUAUUAUUUUAUAUUUAUUCAAAGAAUGAAUCAGCGAGUAAAUAACUUCUCAUUUUUGCACAGAAUUCACACUGAAAUUAAUUUUUGUAUCAAAUCCAUUAAAAAAUGUUUAAUGUUAAAUGAAUAAUUUACUUUUUUUACUUUUUAAUUUUACAUGAAUUAUUAAUUAUAUAAUGUAAAUGGCGCACUUAUAUAGCGCUUUUAUCCAAAGUGUUUUACACUGUGUCUCAUUCACCCAUUCACACACACACACACCCCCCACUCACACACACACCAGUGAUAGCAGAGCUGCCACGCAAGGUGCUAACUUGCCAUCGGGAGCAACUUGGGGUUCAGUGCCUUACCCAACGACACUUCGGUAUGUGGAGUCACGUGGAGUCAUGUGGAGUCACGUGGAGUUAUGUGGAGUGGGUGGAGUCAUGUGGGCCGGGAAUCGAACCGCCGACCCUACGAGUAGUGGACGACCCGCUCUACCACCUGAUCCACAGCUGCCAGUGUCAUUGUUGUAAUAGUUUACUUGUUACAUAUCUUGCUAAAAAUCCUUGCUGUAACAUUAAUUAUUAAUUAUUUAAACUUGUAAUUAUGUUCAUUUUUUCUUUUUUACCAAGCAGUAAAUCAGAAUGUGUGAUGACAGUUAUGUGAAAUUACAAUAUUUUUAUUGUGGUUAUGUUUUUACUUUUUUUUAAAAAAAUGUUUUACCCCAAAAUACAGACGAUUAUCAAAGAGAUGUUUAUUAUCUCAACCUUGUUCCUCCGCUACAGCGCUAAUGUAGCUAAAAGGCAGUGGAAGCUUAUAGCCAACAGUUUAGCAUGAAAUUUUUAUUUCUCUUUUUUACCCAACACACUCAGAGACGUACGAGAAACUAAACCUGAUGUACGCUUGGCUGCAGUGCAUUAUGGGUAACUCACAGUGAGAAUAACAGCAUAUAAACACUCCAGCGUCAAAUAACCGCCAUUAAAAAUCUGUGUGUUAGUGUUUGGGUCGAAGCCUAAAUCAGCAACGGCUUCAACACACACUGGAGAGAUGCAUUUAUUUGUGUGUGUGUGUGUGUGUGUGUGUGUGUGUGAGAGAGAGAGUGUAUGUGUGUCUUCACUGCGGCUCACAAGAGCAAAUCAAGCAGCAAUUCGAGAGCUCUUUCAUUAGUGUGUGUCCCUGUACAACACACACACACACACACACACACACACACACAGCCAGAUGGCCACUUUGUGCCGCGUCUUCCGCUCUGCAAUUACACUCGUUCUCUUUCCCUCCUUCCUCUAUCAGGGACUAUGUGUGUGUGUGUGUGUGUGUGUGUGUGUGUGUGUGUGUGUGUGUGUGUGUGCCAUCUGCAGGAAAACUGGUUUUCAUGCAAUUAACUACAGGAACAGGCCAAACUGCCACAAUAAAGAGUAAAUGAUGAAAAAGCUGUAUUAGAGAAGCUGAAGGGAAAAGAGAAGAUUGAUUCAAUUCAACUGAAUUGAUUCAAUUCACUGUGAUAUUUGAAACUGAGUCAUUUACAGUGAAUCAAAACAAUAAUUAAUUUUCCAAAGUUUACUCAUCAAAUCAAAUCAUGCUGAAAUUUCAGACGUCACUGAAUCAUUCACAUUAAGAAGAAGAAGAAUCCUAACUGAAUCAAAUCAUGGCGACAUUUGGCACAUCACUGAAUCAUUUACAGUGAAUAGAAUCAAUAAAUCGUUUCCCAAACAUCCUAAUUGAAUCUAAUCACUGUGAUAUUUGAAACUUCACUGAAUCAUAUACAUUGAAUCAAAACACUAAAUUGUUUUCCAAAGAAUCCUAAUCGAAUCGAAUCAUGAAGUUAUUUGAGACCUCACUGAAUCGUUUAUAGUGAAUCAAACCAAUAAAUCAUUUAUCAAAGAAUCCCAACUGAAUCGAAUCAUGGUGAUGCUCCAGACUUGACUGAAUUGUUUGCACUGAAUCAAAAAUGAGUCAUUUCUCAAAAAAUCUGAAUCAAACUGAAUCUUGGUGAUAUUUUAUACUUCUCUGAAUCACUUACAUGAAAUCAGAACCUUAAAUCAUUUCCAAAGAAUCCAAAUCAAAUCAAAUCAGGGUAAAAUUUGGUACCUUCACUGAACCUUUUACAGCGAAUCAAAACCAUUAAUCGUUUCCCAAAGAACAGUAAUCGAAUGACAGUAAAAUGUAAGAAUUCAUUGAAUCAUUUAUAUUAAAUCUAAACAAUUCAUUGUUUCUCAAAGAAUCCCAGUUGAACUGAAUCAUGAUAUUCAAGACUUGACUGAACUGUUUCUAUUGAAUCAAAGCAAUGAACACUUUCUCAAAAAAAUCUGAAUCAAAUCUUCUUGAUAUUUGAUACUUAACUGAAUCACUUACAUUGAAUCAGAACAAUAAAUAAUUUCCCAAAGAAUAAUAAUCUAAUCUAAUCUAAUCAUUGAGAUAUACAAUACUUCACUGAAUUAUUUACAUUGGAUGAAGAAUCCUAUUUGAAUAAAAUCUUGGUGAUAUUCGAGACUUCGAGACUGAAUCGGUUACACUGAAUCAUUUCCCAAGGAAUCCGAAUCAAAUCGAAUAAAGGUGAUCAUUUGAUAUUUCACGGAAUCAUUUUACAAUUAAAUCAAGAAUCCUGUUUAAAUCUAAUUGAACUAAAUCAUAGUGGUGAUUUAAAAGAUGUCGUCACCAUGGUAACUAAACUGUUUAGCUUCCCCUGAAGGCAGUAUUUAGGUUGGGUUAAUUCCUCGUAUUCAGAGUCCGGGUUUCGCACAUAGAGGUAUCAGAGGACUGAGACAGAGUUUUCUAAUAGACACUAAGUUUUUUUUUAUAUUAUAUAUAUAUAGUAUUAUAUUAUAAUAGUAUAUACCUCACUGUAGUCCAAAUAUUUCGUGUUAUCUGACAGGCAUUUUAGUCCGCUAACUCUAGCUAGCUAGCUAAGAUACAGCGUAGAGAACAUCACCUCUGGUCGCUUCCAGUUUUUAAUUUAUCUGUGUCUUAUUCUAAUUUUAUAUCUAAUUUGUGUAUUUUUUUUCUCUCCAGCCUGAUAAACAUUUGGCAGUUUCACUGAGUCAAUUUGACUGAAUUGAAGCUCUGAACUGAUUCCUGAAUGAAUCAAUCAAAGCGAAUCAUUUCAUCAUUUAAUCAUGAGGUCACAGAGUUGCACUCAAGCCACCUGUGGUUCUCUGCAGCAGUCUCUCCUGCGUGUGCUCCGUGUUGUUGGGCAGGUCGAAGCCGUUCUCCUCCACCUCAUCCUUCACUUCCUCCUCCUUUCCCUCCUCUGCUGGUUUCUGUCGUUUAACAGCGCUCGCCG
Ictalurus furcatus (blue catfish) is the source of this 4531-nucleotide long non-coding RNA. RefSeq lists it as uncharacterized. The transcript has 3 exons. The record is from RefSeq and is a predicted model, not a curated record. NCBI's taxonomy places the organism in Eukaryota, Metazoa, Chordata, Actinopteri, Siluriformes, Ictaluridae.